Molecule: ribosomal RNA, 751 nt
Filed under: uncultured Phaeobacter sp.
Lineage: Bacteria; Pseudomonadati; Pseudomonadota; Alphaproteobacteria; Rhodobacterales; Roseobacteraceae
Description: bacterial SSU rRNA
Rfam family: Bacterial small subunit ribosomal RNA
Source: RNAcentral
AGAGUUUGAUCAUGGCUCAGAACGAACGCUGGCGGCAGGCCUAACACAUGCAAGUCGAGCGCGCCUUCGGGUGAGCGGCGGACGGGUUAGUAACGCGUGGGAACGUGCCCUUCUCUACGGAAUAGCCUCUGGAAACGGAGAGUAAUACCGUAUACGCCCUUUGGGGGAAAGAUUUAUCGGAGAAGGAUCGGCCCGCGUUAGAUUAGGUAGUUGGUGGGGUAACGGCCUACCAAGCCUACGAUCUAUAGCUGGUUUUAGAGGAUGAUCAGCAACACUGGGACUGAGACACGGCCCAGACUCCUACGGGAGGCAGCAGUGGGGAAUCUUAGACAAUGGGGGCAACCCUGAUCUAGCCAUGCCGCGUGAGUGAUGAAGGCCUUAGGGUCGUAAAGCUCUUUCGCCUGUGAUGAUAAUGACAGUAGCAGGUAAAGAAACCCCGGCUAACUCCGUGCCAGCAGCCGCGGUAAUACGGAGGGGGUUAGCGUUGUUCGGAAUUACUGGGCGUAAAGCGCGCGUAGGCGGAUUAGAAAGUUGGGGGUGAAAUCCCGGGGCUCAACCCCGGAACUGCCUCCAAAACUGCUAGUCUAGAGUUCGAGAGAGGUGAGUGGAAUUCCGAGUGUAGAGGUGAAAUUCGUAGAUAUUCGGAGGAACACCAGUGGCGAAGGCGGCUCACUGGCUCGAUACUGACGCUGAGGUGCGAAAGUGUGGGGAGCAAACAGGAUUAGAUACCCUGGUAGUCCACACCGUAAAC